This 84-nucleotide small nucleolar RNA is filed under the name Plasmodium gonderi. RNAcentral describes it as "small nucleolar RNA snoR07". It matches the Rfam family "small nucleolar RNA snoR07". The record is from Rfam by way of RNAcentral. Lineage: Eukaryota; Apicomplexa; Aconoidasida; Haemosporida; Plasmodiidae.
UUAAAAUGAUGAAUAACUUAUCAGCGAUGGGCGGACAGAAGAAAGUUAAACUUUGCAUGUCGAAAAUCGCGUAAACUGAUAAGA